UCUAAGAAGUAAAAAAAACAGCAGAAAUCGUCCAUACAGAGUAAUCGUUACCCACUAACAUAUCCACAGCCAAUUUUCCUUUGGGCUAGAGGGAAAGAAUUUUGCAACAUUUGACCUCCCAAAAAGUGGAUGUUGAUUCCACAAAGAUGGGGAUGUUGAGGAGUGAGUGGGGAGAGGCCUGCAUCUGCCCCAGCGACUGAUCUCACCCUGUCCACAGGUUCCCAAAGGACCCCCGUGUGAGAAGCCGUGAUCAUGAACACGGAUACAAAGAACUCAGAGUAAAUCAUAAUUUUGUUGUAAAACGGAAAUGGAAGAAAAAUGAGCUCUGUGAACAUAAUUUCAGGCAAAUGAAAAAUUGAUUGGAAACGGACUUCAAGGUUAGACCAUUGGUCCAGGAUUCAUGACACCGGAUCGAUAGUGUUUGCUCUGGAAAAUACCUUUUCACUGAACAUCCACGAACAAAGGCAAGGUUAUAAUAAAGCUUUUGGAAUUCAAAUUGUUACCAGGGUCAGCACGCUCUCACUCUGCACACGCACACAUACGCGCUCAGACACACGUGCACACACGAGCACGCACCUGCAUACACGCUCCCUGCCUGGGGCCAGCUGAGCUCUCCUGCCCUGCCUGGAACGUGCCUCUCCUUCAUGGAAACAGGGAGGACCUGGGGUCACACGGCUGAGCCCACACUCCAGCUCUUGCUGCUCUGUGGCCCAGGUCUUUGCUUGGUCUUGAACGGGGUUCCCAGGUCCUGAUCUGUGCUUCCCGACUUCCUCUGUGUGAGCCCAAUAAUCUACACUCCCCUGGAAUGUGUCCGUUCGAAGGAAGAUCCCACUGGCGUGUGCGUGGAGUCCUCCACCACAGUUGCCAACUCCCAGCCUGGCCCAGAAGACCACCUGCCCCCCAUGUCGGAGAAGUUGCCGCAGACCUGACCUGCCAGGGCAGGGGUUAGACUCCCCGCCCCACCCAGCCAGGGCGUCUUUUCUGCCCGCGGGUGGGUGCAAGCAGGCUCCCCCCAGCCACUCGGCUUCUGCAGGGCUGAGCUUCACUGCCCUGGACAAGAAUGGACAAGAACCGGACCGAGGCCGCCCAUGGACAGCCAGCCAGCCAGGCUCCGCUCGGCCUCUGACCCACCGCCUGGCUUGGGCACCACGGCUCCUCUCUGCCAGUGGCUGGGGGGCGGCCUGGGCAUCCCCAUGAGCACAGACUCCUCGGAAUCCUGAGAGGCCCUCCCCUCCCCUUCCCUCCCCUGCCCAGUCACACCCAGUUCUUUCAGCAGGGGAGCUGGGGGACACUGACUUCAACAUGGGCCUGGGUUUGGAGGAGCUUGUCCCUCUCAUGCUCCUCAUAUGCCCAGUGAAGCCUCAGCCAGGGACAGGCACGGAGCCCUUCCCGGCCUCAUGGCGCUUCCUGAAGUCGGAAUGUGCGUCUUCAAGCUGUUACCGCAUCCCCCUUGCCUGUGAGGAACCCCACAGUGCUGUACGGCCCCGGGCUUCAGGGCACGCCGCCCUUUGUCCGCUAACUAGUGUGGUUGUGUGGUUCUCUGAAUAGCCUGCAUGUCACGUUUGA
RNAcentral lists this long non-coding RNA (1566 nucleotides) under Homo sapiens (human). Its description in RNAcentral is "HSALNT0338840". The record is from RNAcentral. Lineage: Eukaryota; Metazoa; Chordata; Mammalia; Primates; Hominidae.